This 500-nucleotide ribosomal RNA is filed under the name uncultured bacterium. RNAcentral describes it as "partial 16S ribosomal RNA". It matches the Rfam family "Bacterial small subunit ribosomal RNA", at positions 30 to 523 of the family's 1533-position model. The record is from RNAcentral.
AUCGAACGCUGGCGGCAUGCCUUACACAUGCAAGUCGAACGGCAGCACGGGAGCAAUCCUGGUGGCGAGUGGCGAACGGGUGAGUAAUAUAUCGGAACGUGCCCAGUCGUGGGGGAUAACGUAGCGAAAGCUACGCUAAUACCGCAUACGAUCUAUGGAUAAAAGCGGGGGAUCGCAAGACCUCGCGCGAUUGGAGCGGCCGAUAUCAGAUUAGGUAGUUGGUGAGGUAAAGGCUCACCAAGCUGACGAUCUGUAGCUGGUCUGAGAGGGCGACCAGCCACACUGGAACUGAGACACGGUCCAGACUCCUACGGGAGGCAGCAGUGGGGAAUUUUGGACAAUGGGCGCAAGCCUGAUCCAGCAAUGCCGCGUGCAGGAUGAAGGCCUUCGGGUUGUAAACUGCUUUUGUACGGAACCAAACGGUGAGCUCUAAUACAGUUUGCUAAUGACGGUACCGUAAGAAUAAGCACCGGCUAACUACGUGCCAGCCGCCGCGGUAA